AAUCGGAUUAGUUUUUUUUUAUUCAUUUUUUAGCAGAUCUUUUGUGUCCAUACGAAUCAUCAAGUUGUAAUUUGAAUUCUCAUACUUUUUUGAAUCAAAAAGACCACUUCUAGCCUUUUAUGUAGCCAACCCUAGCUUACGGUACACAUAUUUAUUGUUGAGUCGGUUCAGUUUUUUUUAAUUUCUUUUUUAGCAGAUCUUUUGUGUCCAUUCUAAUCCUCAAUCUCUAAUUUGAAUUCUCAUACUUUUUCCACUCAAAUUAGCCAGUUUUAGCCUUUGCUUUGGCCAACCCUAGCUCACUGUACAAACAUGUACUGUUGAAUUAGUUUAGUUUUUUUGAUUCAAGUUUUGGCAGAUCUGUUGUGUCCAUUCGAAUUCUCAUACUCUUUUGAAUCAAAUUGUCUAGUUCUAGCCUUUGCUCUAGCCAACCACAGCUCACUGUACAGACGGGUAUUGUUGAAUCGAUUCAAUUUUUUUUUAUUCAUGUUUUAGCAGAUCUUUUCUCGCCAUUCGAGUCCCUAAUCUGUAAUUUGAAUUCUCAUACUUUUUCCAAUCAAAUUGGACAAUCCUAGACUUUUAUGUAGCCAACCCUAGCUCACAGUAUAGGUAGUUAUUGUAGAAUUGGUUCUGUAUUUUUCAUUCAUGUUUUAGCAGAUCUUUUGUCGCCAUUCGAAUCCGCAAUCUGUAAUUUGAAUUCUCAUACUUUUUCCAAUCAAAUUGGCCACUUCUAGCAAUUUCUACAGCCAACCCUAGCUCACAGUAUAGACAUGUACUGUAGAAUUGGAUCUAUUUUUUUCUUUCAUGUUUUAGCAAAUCUUUUUCGGCCAUUCGAAUCCCCUAUCUGUAAUUUGAAUUCUCAUACUUUUUCCAAUCAAAUUGGCCAUCUCUAGCAAUUUCUAUAACCAACCCCUAGCUUACUGUACAGACGGGCAUUGUUGAAUCGGUUCAGUUUUUUUGACUCUUGGUUUGGCAGAUCUUUUGUGUCCAUUAGAAUCCUCAAUUUCUAAUUUGAAUUAUCAUACUUGUCCCAAUCAAAUUGGACACUCCUAGCUUUUUAUGUAGCCAACCCUAGCUUAAGAUACAGACAUUUAUUGUUGAAUCGGUUCAGUUUUCUUUUAUUCACUUUUUAGAAAAUCUUUUGUGUCCAUACGAAUCCACAAUUUGUAAUUUGAAUUCUCCUACUUUUUCCAAUUGAAUUGGCCACUUCUAGCUAUUUCUACAGCCAACCCUAGCUCACAGCACGGAUAGUUAUUGUCGAAUUGGUUCUGUAUUUUUCAUUUAUGUUUUAGUAGAUCUUUUGUCGCCGUUCGAAUUGCCAAUCUAUAAUUUGAAUUCUCAUACCUUUUCCAAUCAAAUUGGCCUUCUGUACCC
RNAcentral lists this long non-coding RNA (1371 nucleotides) under Prunus persica (peach). RNAcentral describes it as "long non-coding RNA (PPER_LNC002886)". Lineage: Eukaryota; Viridiplantae; Streptophyta; Magnoliopsida; Rosales; Rosaceae. The record is from RNAcentral.